This 199-nucleotide non-coding RNA is filed under the name Clostridiales bacterium. Its description in RNAcentral is "6S RNA". It matches the Rfam family "6S / SsrS RNA". From Rfam's summary of the family: E. coli 6S RNA was the first non coding RNA to be sequenced, but its function was unknown until recently. It consists of 184 nucleotides that fold into an extended hairpin structure with a large single-stranded internal bulge. The 6S RNA specifically associates with RNA polymerase holoenzyme containing the sigma70 specificity factor. Lineage: Bacteria; Bacillati; Bacillota; Clostridia; Eubacteriales. The record is from RNAcentral.
ACCGUCCUGCCUUGUUCGUUACGCGGUAUUCAUUUAAACCCACAAUAAAUGAAAGGGAAUGCGGGUCGGAAGGUAAGGUGCAUGCCGUUUUCCUUUACGGAAUUUAUAAACGGAAGCCGAAAUACCCUCCGCAGCACGACCAUCCUGCUAAAUAAUAGCGGGUUAUUAAUGUAUCGCGGACGGCAAAGGUGGGAUUUUU